Molecule: RNA transcript, 1839 nt
Organism: Vigna unguiculata (cowpea)
Lineage: Eukaryota; Viridiplantae; Streptophyta; Magnoliopsida; Fabales; Fabaceae
Gene: ADT1
Gene name: arogenate dehydratase 1
Source: RefSeq, a predicted model, not a curated record
CCUUUUGUUUUGUUUCAACUGGUGGAAGCACUGGCAUAGUUCAUAUGCUUAUACCAUCUGUUUUAUUUAUUGUGGGGUCACCCAAAAUUCUAAGCGCCAACCGUAAUUCAUACAUUCACACUACGUAUUUCUUAAACAAUGUCAUGCUGUGAAUCACCCAAACUCACCAACCAUCGCCACUCUGAUAAACUCUGAACUUCUCUCCCUUUCUUCCUUCACAUUGUAGAUUAGGUUCCUUCAUUUUCAUGGCUCUUAAGGCCGUAUCCAUCUGGGGUUAUUCCAAAGUUCCUCCUCCUCAAUUGGGUGCUGGUCUUGCCAAUUCUCAUCCUACUCCGAUUUGGAAUCAAAGAUAUGAUUUUGACAAAUGUCGCAGGUGGGAAUGCUGUUGUUUGGGUGUUUCGGCUCAGAGAGCUACCACUGCUGUUGAAGAUGAGGAGCCCAAUGUCCCCCCUUUGGUCGAGUCUUCUGGGGCUGCUGAUGGUGUUCACCAAAAUGAGUCAAAGGGCUUUCACAAGGACAUAAACCAGCUUCCUAAGCCAUUAACAACAAUUGACAUUUCUUCUUCUUCUUCAAGUAAUGGAUCAAAGGUUCGCGUGGCUUUUCAGGGACUUCCAGGGGCAUACAGUGAGGAUGCAGCUUUGAAAGCAUAUCCAAAAUGCGAGACUGUGCCGUGUGACAAUUUUGAAUCUGCAUUUAAGGCAGUUGAGUUAUGGUUAGUGGAUAAAGCUGUUCUGCCCAUUGAAAAUUCUGUUGCUGGAAGCAUCCACCGUAAUUAUGAGUUACUUCUUCGCCAUAGGCUGCACAUUGUUGGGGAGGUUCAGUUGCGUGUUAAUCACUGCCUUUUAGGAUUGCCUGGUGUGAGAAAGGAGGACCUCAAAGUUGUUGUGAGUCAUCCCCAGGCGUUAGAUCAAUGUGAGAAAAUGCUUAAUGAUUUAGGUGUUGUCAAGAUUGGUGCACGUGAUACUGCUGAUGCUGCUCAGACAGUGGCUUCAAAUUGUGCAAGAGACACAGGAGCUAUUGCAAGUUCCCGAGCUGCAAAAGUAUAUGGGCUCGACAUACUGACAGAAAGAAUUCAGGAUGAUGAUGAGAACAUUACUCGUUUCUUGGUCCUUGCAAGGGAUCCUAUAAUUCCAGGAACUGACAAGCCACAUAAGACUAGCAUUGUUUUCAGUCUAGAAGAAGGUCCUGGUGUACUGUUCAAAGCCUUGGCAGUUUUUGCUAUGAGGGAUAUUAAUUUGUCAAAGAUAGAGAGCUGUCCGCUGAAGCAGCGUCCAUUAAGGGUUGUGGAUGAUUCAAAUCAAGGGAAUUCCAAUUCAAAUGCAGAAAGGAAAAGGUUCUCAGGCGCGGUUUAGUUUUUACUUUAUGAAUAUGAUCAACGAUACUGGUAUUUUGCAUACGUGUGAAUGGUUUUAGGCAUAAAACUUCUCUGGUAGCAGGUACUUUGACUACCUCUUCUACACUGACAUUGAAGCUUCUAUGGCAGAACCUCGUGCACAAUAUGCUUUAGGACAGUUGCAGGAAUUUGCUAGUUUUCUUCGAGUUCUUGGUUGUUAUCCUAUGGAUACAGUGUUAUAGGAGUUCAGUGUUGUUCAUCAGAGGUAGAUUUAUAAUCAGAGACACGGUGGAGGAAGUAUCCAUGAAAAGCAUUGCCCCUUUCAUUUCUUUCAAAAUUCUUUGCAUCUCCUAAGGAGGUGAUUUGGAGUAUAUUAUCAUAGUUUUGACAGUGGAGUGAAUGCUGGCAAUGCCAACUUUGCCUCCAAAGUAUAUAAAUAAAUGACUCUAUUGAAUUAUUGUGGCAAAUUAAUGAAUGACCCAGCCACCCAAAGUUUUCUUCUUCCA